This 253-nucleotide ribosomal RNA is filed under the name uncultured bacterium. Its description in RNAcentral is "partial 16S ribosomal RNA". It matches the Rfam family "Bacterial small subunit ribosomal RNA", at positions 524 to 776 of the family's 1533-position model. The record is from RNAcentral.
UACAGAGGUCCCAAGCGUUGUUCGGAUUCACUGGGCGUAAGGGGUGCGUAGGUGGCGCUGUAAGUCAGGUGUGAAAUUUCGGAGCUUAACUCCGAAACUGCAUUUGAUACUGCGGUGCUUGAGGACUGGAGAGGAGACUGGAAUUUACGGUGUAGCAGUGAAAUGCGUAGAGAUCGUAAGGAAGACCAGUGGCGAAGGCGGGUCUCUGGACAGUUCCUGACACUGAGGCACGAAGGCCAGGGGAGCAAACGGG